CCCGCACAAGCGGUGAGCAUGUGGUUUAAUUCGAAGCAACGCGAAGAACCUUACCAGGUCUUGACAUCCCUGACAACCCGAGAGAUCGGCGUUCCCCUUCGGGGGACAGGGUGACAGGUGGUGCAUGGUUGUCGUCAGCUCGUGUCGUGAGAUGUUGGGUUAAGUCCCGCAACGAGCGCAACCCUCGACCUUAGUUGCCAGCAUUCAGUUGGGCACUCUAAGGUGACUGCCGGUCUUAAGCCGGAGGAAGGUGGGGAUGAUGUCAAGUCAGCAUGGCCUUUAUAUCCUGGGCUACACACACGCUACAAUGGCCAACACAAUAGGUUGCUAAGCCGCGAGGUGGCGCCAAUCCAUAAAGUUGGUCUCAGUUCAGAUUGUAGGCUGCAACCCGCCUGCAUGAAGAUGGAGUUGCUAGUAACCGCAGGUCAGCUAUACUGCGGUGAAUACGUUCCCGGGGCUU
Molecule: ribosomal RNA, 460 nt
Filed under: uncultured Sedimentibacter sp.
Lineage: Bacteria; Bacillati; Bacillota; Tissierellia
Description: bacterial SSU rRNA
Rfam family: Bacterial small subunit ribosomal RNA
Source: RNAcentral